This 305-nucleotide ribosomal RNA is filed under the name uncultured bacterium. Its description in RNAcentral is "bacterial SSU rRNA". It matches the Rfam family "Bacterial small subunit ribosomal RNA", at positions 337 to 640 of the family's 1533-position model. The record is from RNAcentral.
ACCUACGGGGGGCAGCAGUGAGGAAUAUUGGUCAAUGGUCGGGAGACUGAACCAGCCAAGCCGCGUGAGGGAUGAAGGUACAGAGUAUCGUAAACCUCUUUUGUCAGGGAACAAAGGCGGGGACGUGUCCCCGGAUGAGUGUACCUGAAGAAAAAGCAUCGGCUAACUCCGUGCCCGCAGCCGCGGUAAUACGGAGGAUGCGAGCGUUAUCCGGAUUUAUUGGGUUUAAAGGGUGCGCCGGCGGUCUGUUAAGUCAGCGGUCAAAGCCCGGGGCUCAACCCCGGCCCGCCGUUGAAACUGGCAGG